Molecule: ribosomal RNA, 460 nt
Filed under: uncultured bacterium
Lineage: Bacteria
Description: partial 16S ribosomal RNA
Rfam family: Bacterial small subunit ribosomal RNA
Source: RNAcentral
CCUACGGGAGGCUGCAGUGAGGAAUAUUGGUCAAUGGACGAGAGUCUGAACCAGCCAAGUAGCGUGAAGGAUGACUGCCCUAUGGGUUGUAAACUUCUUUUAUAUGGGAAUAAAACGUUCCACGUGUGGGAUUUUGUAUGUACCAUAUGAAUAAGGAUCGGCUAACUCCGUGCCAGCAGCCGCGGUAAUACGGAGGAUCCGAUCGUUAUCCGGAUUUAUUGGGUUUAAAGGGAGCGUAGGUGGAUUGUUUAGUCAGUUGUGAAAGUUUGCGGCUCAACCGUAAAAUUGCAGUUGAAACUGGCAGUCUUGAGUACAGUAGAGGUGGGCGGAAUUCGUGGUGUAGCGGUGAAAUGCUUAGAUAUCACGAAGAACUCCGAUUGCGAAGGCAGUUCACUGGACUGCAACUGACACUGAGGCUCGAAAGUGUGGGUAUCAAACAGGAUUAGAUACCCUAGUAGUC